This 244-nucleotide long non-coding RNA is filed under the name Nicotiana benthamiana. Its description in RNAcentral is "long non-coding RNA (NBEN_LNC014078)". The record is from RNAcentral. Lineage: Eukaryota; Viridiplantae; Streptophyta; Magnoliopsida; Solanales; Solanaceae.
GAGGGUAAUAUGUAGACGAGCCUUACCCCUACCCGAAAGGGCAGAGAGGCUGUUUCCAAUCGACCCUCGGCGCAUAGGAAAUAGGGAAAUCAGCUGUAAAACAAAAACAAAAACAAAACCAAUAACAAUAGAGCAUUAGUAUCACCCGCAGAAAUAGCGGAAAUAAUUAUCUAAACAUAAGGAACCUAAAUACAAUCGCAUGCAAUAAUAUCAUACAGUAACUACGAAGAACUCUAGGAGCCNN